Molecule: long non-coding RNA, 205 nt
Filed under: Vitis vinifera (wine grape)
Lineage: Eukaryota; Viridiplantae; Streptophyta; Magnoliopsida; Vitales; Vitaceae
Description: long non-coding RNA (VVIN_LNC007979)
Source: RNAcentral
AUACAUGCAUGUCCUAAUGAUUGUAUCCUUUAUAGGAAUGAGUUGAAAGAUGCAUCGUCAUGUCCUACUUAUGGAACUUCAAGGUGGAAGACAGAUAAAACAGGAACUAAAAAGAGGAAGGGGGUUCCAGCGAAAGUAAUGUGGUAUUUCCCUCCAGUUCCAAGAUUUAGAAGAAUGUUUCAAUCAGUAAAAAUUGCAAGAGAGC